GAUGAACGCUGGCGGCGUGCCUAAUACAUGCAAGUCGAGCGAACGGACGAGAAGCUUGCUUCUCUGAUGUUAGCGGCGGACGGGUGAGUAACACGUGGAUAACCUACCUAUAAGACUGGGAUCACUUCGGGAAACCGGAGCUAAUACCGGAUGAUAUUUUGAACCGCAUGGUUCAAAAGUGAAAGACGGUCUUGCUGUCACUUAUCGAUGGAUCCGCGCUGCAUUAGCUAGUUGGUACGGUAACGGCUUACCAAGGCAACGAUGCAUAGCCGACCUGAGAGGGUGACCGGCCACACUGGAACUGAGACACGGUCCAGACUCCUACGGGAGGCAGCAGUAGGGAAUCUUCCGCAAAGGGCGAAAGCCUGACGGAGCAACGCCGCGUGAGUGAUGAAGGUCUUCGGAUCGUAAAACUCUGUUAUUAGGGAAGAACAUAUGUGUAAGUAACUGUGCACAUCUUGACGGUACCUAAUCAGAAAGCCACGGCUAACUACGUG
This 497-nucleotide ribosomal RNA is filed under the name uncultured bacterium. RNAcentral's name for it is "partial 16S ribosomal RNA". It matches the Rfam family "Bacterial small subunit ribosomal RNA", at positions 28 to 507 of the family's 1533-position model. The record is from RNAcentral.